AUAAAAUCAAGAUGGCUACCUGUCAAUGUACUUUGAAUACCGUAAAUACAGGCUAUGUGCAGUGUAAAAUAUUUAAUUAAAAAAAUCCUUAGAGUGAUGCAAUAAUCAAGUGAAUAAUAUUUUUUAUUUAUAGUAAUUCGUUUCGUAUUCUUUCUUUAGUGAUCGUCAAUUCUGGAUACAAACAGUAAACUGGAUGAAAUGCUGUGGGGAAGUGUUAUGUUAUAACCUAAGAAAAAUGAUUUUCUUAAUUAAAUCCGAGAAUAUAGAUGAAUUCAGGAUGUACUCUUAAUCAAAUUAUUUUAACAAAUACUAAUCAGAUCAGCAUGCAGAUCUAUAUUUUAAAUUCCAAUCCAAGAACGUUAUACUCAAAAGAAGAGGAGUCCAUUACACCAUUGGAUCAAUGGAUAUAUAUUUCAUUUUCUUACGGCUAACGAUUAGAAGAUUUGCAUUGAUUAUGUAAUCCGAAAAAGAGUUUUAUUCUAUAAUAUUAUGUAAAUAGAACGCAGCUGCAGUAACAAAGAAUAAUCAAGAGAAGAAUCUGUUAAAAGGAAGGAAAUAAUUUGACUAGAAGUGUCUACUCAUUAUUAUCAAGAUUGUGAUAAGAAGAAUACAACAAUACUGCAACUAUGAAAGAUUGUUUAAUGCACUUUUCUUCAUCAUACUUGCACUGCGAGAAAACCAUAUGUAGUAAUAUUUUAUCAAAAGAAUACCAGAACACAUGUAUCUCUUAGUUAUCACAAAAUAAGAAAACAAGUGGCAAAUACAUUAUAUUAAGAAAUUCUAUUCAUGUCAAAAUCUUUUAUCAAGUUUUGUACACGGUAAUAGAAGAUAUUAUUUUUUUAUUAGCUGACAAGAAAAAUUGAUGUAUUUGUUAAUAAAUAUCUUAUUUGCAAGGAAUUUCAUGUGAAUUAUUAUGGGAAUAGAAUGCAGCUGCUCUGAUUAAAA
Molecule: long non-coding RNA, 945 nt
Organism: Polistes dominula (European paper wasp)
Lineage: Eukaryota; Metazoa; Arthropoda; Insecta; Hymenoptera; Vespidae
Source: RefSeq, a predicted model, not a curated record